GACAGAGGAUGCAAGCGUUAUCCGGAAUUAUUGGGCGUAAAGCGUCUGUAGGUGGCUUUUCAAGUCCGCCGUCAAAUCCCAGGGCUCAACCCUGGACAGGCGGUGGAAACUACCAAGCUGGAGUACGGUAGGGGCAGAGGGAAUUUCCGGUGGAGCGGUGAAAUGCAUUGAGAUCGGAAAGAACACCAGUGGCGAAGGCGGCUACCUGGACAGCUACUGACACUGAGGCGCGAGAGCGUGGGGAGCAAACAGG
RNAcentral lists this ribosomal RNA (253 nucleotides) under uncultured bacterium. RNAcentral's name for it is "partial 16S ribosomal RNA". It matches the Rfam family "Bacterial small subunit ribosomal RNA", at positions 524 to 776 of the family's 1533-position model. The record is from RNAcentral.